AUUGAACGCUGGCGGAAUGCUUUACACAUGCAAGUCGAACGGCAGCACGGGAGCUUGCUCCUGGUGGCGAGUGGCGAACGGGUGAGUAAUGUAUCGGAACGUACCCAGUCGUGGGGGAUAACUAUCCGAAAGGAUAGCUAAUACCGCAUACGUCCUGAGGGAGAAAGCGGGGGAUCGCAAGACCUCGCGCGAUUGGAGCGGCCGAUAUCGGAUUAGCUAGUUGGUGGGGUAAAGGCUCACCAAGGCGACGAUCCGUAGCGGGUCUGAGAGGACGACCCGCCACACUGGAACUGAGACACGGUCCAGACUCCUACGGGAGGCAGCAGUGGGGGAAUUUUGGACAAUGGGGGAAACCCUGAUCCAGCCAUUCCGCGUGAGUGAAGAAGGCCUCGGUUGU
RNAcentral lists this ribosomal RNA (397 nucleotides) under uncultured bacterium. Its description in RNAcentral is "bacterial SSU rRNA". It matches the Rfam family "Bacterial small subunit ribosomal RNA", at positions 30 to 426 of the family's 1533-position model. The record is from RNAcentral.